GCGAAGUCGCAAGACGAUGUAUAUGGACUGACGCCUGCCCGGUGCUGGAAGGUUAAAAGGAGAGGUGAGAGCUUUGAAUUGAAGCCCCAGUAAACGGCGGCCGUAACUAUAACGGUCCUAAGGUAGCGAAAUUCCUUGUCGGGUAAGUUCCGACCUGCACGAAUGGUGUAACGAUCUGGGCACUGUCUCAGCCACGAGCUCGGUGAAAUUGUAGUAGCGGUGAAGAUGCCGCUUACCCGCAACGGGACGAAAAGACCCCGUGCACCUUUACUAUAGCUUCGCAGUGGUAUUAGUGAACAAAUGUGUAGGAUAGGCCGGAGGCUUUGAAGCAGUACCGCCAGGUAUUGUGGAGCCAUCCUUGAAAUACGGCCCUUUUGUUUUCUGAUAUCUAACCGC
RNAcentral lists this ribosomal RNA (396 nucleotides) under Trieres chinensis. RNAcentral's name for it is "partial Bacterial large subunit ribosomal RNA". It matches the Rfam family "Bacterial large subunit ribosomal RNA", at positions 1825 to 2229 of the family's 2925-position model. Lineage: Eukaryota; Bacillariophyta; Thalassiosirophyceae; Eupodiscales; Parodontellaceae. The record is from RNAcentral.